GGGGGAGUAGCUCUAAUUGGCAGAGCGGCGGUCUCCAAAACCGCAGGCUGUAGGUUCGAAUCCUACCUCCCCCG
This 74-nucleotide transfer RNA is filed under the name Candidatus Parcubacteria bacterium. RNAcentral's name for it is "tRNA-Trp". It matches the Rfam family "tRNA". Rfam says of the family: Transfer RNA (tRNA) molecules are approximately 80 nucleotides in length. Their secondary structure includes four short double-helical elements and three loops (D, anti-codon, and T loops). Lineage: Bacteria; Candidatus Parcubacteria. The record is from RNAcentral.